UAUGGCCAUAUCACAUUGGAACAUUGGUUCCCUGUACAAUCACUGAAGUUAAGCAACAUCUAGCUCAGUCAGUACCUAGAUGGGUGACCACUUGGGAAUACCAGGUGCUGUAAU
This 114-nucleotide ribosomal RNA is filed under the name Acanthosepion pharaonis. The record is from RNAcentral. Lineage: Eukaryota; Metazoa; Mollusca; Cephalopoda; Sepiida; Sepiidae.